Molecule: transfer RNA, 74 nt
Filed under: Streptomyces somaliensis
Lineage: Bacteria; Bacillati; Actinomycetota; Actinomycetes; Kitasatosporales; Streptomycetaceae
Also listed under: 1 other name
Description: tRNA-Cys
Rfam family: tRNA
About the family: Transfer RNA (tRNA) molecules are approximately 80 nucleotides in length. Their secondary structure includes four short double-helical elements and three loops (D, anti-codon, and T loops).
Source: RNAcentral
GGUGGAGUGGCCGAGAGGCUAGGCACCGGCUCGCAAAGCCGUUUACACAGGUUCGAAUCCUGUCUCCACCUCCA